RNAcentral lists this ribosomal RNA (119 nucleotides) under Oryctolagus cuniculus (rabbit). Lineage: Eukaryota; Metazoa; Chordata; Mammalia; Lagomorpha; Leporidae. The record is from RNAcentral.
GUCUACGGCCAUACCACCCUGAACGCGCCCGAUCUCGUCUGAUCUCGGAAGCUAAGCAGGGUCGGGCCUGGUUAGUACUUGGAUGGGAGAAAUGAAUGAUAAUUCACUUUCAGUAACCU